CUGCUGUGAUGCAAUGUUCCAAACCAUUCGUAGUUUCCACCUGAAGUCCCGAGACUCAUGUUGGCUCAAGUUCCUUCCUUGGAUGUCUGAGCGG
Small nucleolar RNA from Ornithorhynchus anatinus (platypus), 94 nucleotides. RefSeq annotates it as small nucleolar RNA SNORD14. NCBI's taxonomy places the organism in Eukaryota, Metazoa, Chordata, Mammalia, Monotremata, Ornithorhynchidae. The record is from RefSeq and is a predicted model, not a curated record. The transcript has a single exon.